This 61-nucleotide transfer RNA is filed under the name Tricholepidion gertschi. RNAcentral describes it as "tRNA-Thr". The record is from RNAcentral. Lineage: Eukaryota; Metazoa; Arthropoda; Insecta; Zygentoma; Lepidotrichidae.
GUUUAGGUAGUUUAAAAAAAACGCUGGUCUUGUAAAUCAGUAAUGGAUUUUCCCAUAAACU